Molecule: transfer RNA, 58 nt
Filed under: Salmo salar (Atlantic salmon)
Lineage: Eukaryota; Metazoa; Chordata; Actinopteri; Salmoniformes; Salmonidae
Source: Rfam by way of RNAcentral
UGACUCAGUUGGGUGAGUUUGGAACUUGCAAUGCCAGGGUUGUGGGUUCGAUUCCCAC